CCAUGGAAGCUGUGAGCGCCCGAAGUCCGUGUCGGAACCUGUGCAAACAGGACCAAGCGGCCGAAGGCGAGCGCAGUGACUGGGGCG
Molecule: ribosomal RNA, 87 nt
Filed under: uncultured bacterium
Lineage: Bacteria
Description: partial 16S ribosomal RNA
Source: RNAcentral